AUUGAACGCUGGCGGCAGGCCUAACACAUGCAAGUCGAGCGGAUGAAGGGAGCUUGCUCCUGGAUUCAGCGGCGGACGGGUGAGGAAUGCCUAGGAAUCUGCCUGGUAGUGGGGGAUAACGUCCGGAAACGGGCGCUAAUACCGCAUACGUCCUGAGGGAGAAAGUGGGGGAUCUUCGGACCUCACGCUAUCAGAUGAGCCUAGGUCGGAUUAGCUAGUUGGUGGGGUAAAGGCCUACCAAGGCGACGAUCCGUAACUGGUCUGAGAGGAUGAUCAGUCACACUGGAAUUGGGAAACGGUCCAGACUCCUCGGGGAGGCAGCAGUGGGGAAUAUUGGACAAUGGGCGAAAGCCUGAUCCAGACCUGCCGCGUGUGUGAAGAAGGUCUUCGGAUUGUAAAGCACUUUAAGUUGGGAGGAAGGGCAGUAAGUUAAUACCUUGCUGUUUUGACGUUACCAACAGAAUAAGCACCGGCUAACUUCGUG
Molecule: ribosomal RNA, 484 nt
Filed under: uncultured bacterium
Lineage: Bacteria
Description: partial 16S ribosomal RNA
Rfam family: Bacterial small subunit ribosomal RNA
Source: RNAcentral